UACGAAGGGGGCUAGCGUUGCUCGGAUUUACUGGGCGUAAAGGCGCGUAGGCGGAUUUCUAAGUCGGGGGUGAAAGCCCAGGGCUCAACCCUGGAAUUGCCUUCGAUACUGGAAGUCUUGAGUACGGGAGAGGUGAGUGGAACUCCCGAGUGUAGAGGUGAAAUUCGUAGAUAUUCGGAAGAACACCAGUGGCGAAGGCGACUCACUGGCCCGUACUGACGCCUGAGGCGCGAA
Molecule: ribosomal RNA, 234 nt
Filed under: uncultured bacterium
Lineage: Bacteria
Description: partial 16S ribosomal RNA
Rfam family: Bacterial small subunit ribosomal RNA
Source: RNAcentral